AAUCUGUGUGCUCCCACUUGUAUUUUGUUCACAGCAACCUUAACAUCUUUCUUAGAGCUCUUUAGGAUGCGCAGGCAGCAGUGCGUGCAGUGAGAUGUGUGCAAGCUGCUGCAGUAAGACAAGACCAGCAGCAGUGCUAAGAAGGAAUGCAGUGAGCAGUGCUGCCAGGCUUUUCUCUUUGAGAGUCUCACACACUCUAAUAGAUGCCAGCUCUUAGCUAAAGCAUUCCAAGCUGUCUGUGCUUGAUCUCCAGAAGCAGCAACUGCUGUCCUUGCUGCUCCUUCCCUGCUGUGGUGAUUCCAACUGAAACACAGACUGAGGGAGUCGGCUGGAAGUGCUGCAGCAGUGAGUGUGGGGAGUGUGCAAAACCACCUCUCACCUGGAUGGUU
Long non-coding RNA from Pogoniulus pusillus (Red-fronted tinkerbird), 389 nucleotides. RefSeq lists it as uncharacterized. The transcript is spliced from 3 exons. NCBI's taxonomy places the organism in Eukaryota, Metazoa, Chordata, Aves, Piciformes, Lybiidae. The record is from RefSeq and is a predicted model, not a curated record.